RNAcentral lists this long non-coding RNA (407 nucleotides) under Physcomitrium patens. RNAcentral describes it as "long non-coding RNA (PPAT_LNC012657)". Lineage: Eukaryota; Viridiplantae; Streptophyta; Bryopsida; Funariales; Funariaceae. The record is from RNAcentral.
GUUACUAACUUAGUUGCUAAAAGAAGUAUAAAAUUGUAAGUAAGAUCAAUGGUAUAAUAAAUAGAUAUUUAGGUUCUAAAUUAUCUCAAGAUUAGAUUGAUUUGAUUAGGCUUUGGUUUAGGAUUUAAGAAUUGAUUACGAUUUAGGAUUUAUUUAGGAUUUAGUUAGGAUUUGACUUAGGAUUUAAAUAAAGAUUAUUAAAAUUUUAACUAGGAUUAAAUUAAGAUUUGAUUGGAAUUAUUUAAGAUAUAUUUUGAAUUUUAUUUUAAUACUUUAUAUGAAUUUCUUUAGAAUUUCUUCAUCCUUCUUUUGUAAUUUCUUUGAGGUUUUUUUGAAUUUAAUUAAAGCUUAAUUAACAUUGUUAAGAUUUAAUUGGAAUUAUUUAAGAUUAUAUUAGAAUUAAAAUC